RNAcentral lists this ribosomal RNA (268 nucleotides) under uncultured archaeon. Its description in RNAcentral is "partial 16S ribosomal RNA". It matches the Rfam family "Archaeal small subunit ribosomal RNA", at positions 70 to 336 of the family's 1478-position model. The record is from RNAcentral.
AGUAAUACAAGGCAGACGGCCUCAGUAACACGUAGUCAACCUACCCUAUGGACAAGAAUAAUCUCGGGAAACUGGGCAUAAUUCUUGAUAGAUCAUAAUGCCUGGAAUGGUUUAUGGUUAAAAUGAUUCGUCGCCAUAGGAUGGGACUGCGGCCUAUCAGCUUGUUGGUGAGGUAAUGGCCCACCAAGGCGAUUACAGGUACGGGCUCUGAGAGGAGAAGCCCGGAGAUGGGUACUGUGACACKGACCCWGGCCYUAUGGGGCGCAGC